RNAcentral lists this ribosomal RNA (493 nucleotides) under uncultured bacterium. RNAcentral describes it as "partial 16S ribosomal RNA". It matches the Rfam family "Bacterial small subunit ribosomal RNA", at positions 29 to 507 of the family's 1533-position model. The record is from RNAcentral.
AGUGAACGCUGGCGGUAGGCCUAACACAUGCAAGUCGAACGGCAGCACAGUAAGAGCUUGCUCUUACGGGUGGCGAGUGGCGGACGGGUGAGGAAUACAUCGGAAUCUACUUUUUUCGUGGGGGAUAACGUAGGGAAACUUACGCUAAUACCGCAUACGACCUACGGGUGAAAGCAGGGGAUCUUCGGACCUUGCGCGAUUGAAUGAGCCGAUGUCGGAUUAGCUAGUUGGCGGGGUAAAGGCCCACCAAGGCGACGAUCCGUAGCUGGUCUGAGAGGAUGAUCAGCCACACUGGAACGGAGACACGGUCCAGACUCCUACGGGAGGCAGCAGUGGGGAAUAUUGGACAAUGGGCGCAAGCCUGAUCCAGCCAUACCGCGUGGGUGAAGAAGGCCUUCGGGUUGUAAAGCCCUUUUGUUGGGAAAGAAAAGCAGCAGGUUAAUACCCCGCUGUUCUGACGGUACCCAAAGAAUAAGCACCGGCUAACUUCGUG